ACUUGUUGACAUUUUGUUAGUGUCAGGCUCAUCUCGAAUAAACUGACCCGACCCAAGUUAUAUUCGGAUCCAAAUAAUUUUGACACGAAGGAAUCAAAUAGGAUAUUUUUUGGUACAUGGAAAUGGAAUGGAAUCAAAUAGGAUAAACCCGUCAAAAUAUGACGCGAGAACAGGCGUAGAAACUUUACGAUGUUUUUGUCCGCACCCGAUCAUCAAGGGACCAUAAGCAAUCCAAAAACAAAGCCUCUAUCUUGUUUCUCCUACCUCAAAGCACUAUGGAUCUCUCAUAAAUAAUAUUCUCUACCAACCAAAAUAACCAAACACAAUCAAUAAUGAUGAUAAUCGACCCUCCCAUCGCCGUCAGAUUCCACGCCGCCGCCGCCUUUCGCUCCGCCGCAGCACCACCACCUCGUACUCUCUCUCUCACUCACUUCUCUAUUUUUUUUCUUCCAUUUCUUUCGCUGACUCAGCUUAGUUUCGAUUCUGACUUACCGAAUGUGAUGUUGUGAGAAGUUACAGUGGCUGUUUAGAAACAAAAAAACGGCGG
RNAcentral lists this long non-coding RNA (547 nucleotides) under Glycine max (soybean). RNAcentral describes it as "long non-coding RNA (GMAX_LNC002007)". The record is from RNAcentral. Lineage: Eukaryota; Viridiplantae; Streptophyta; Magnoliopsida; Fabales; Fabaceae.